CUGUUUAGUGAAUAAAAGAAAUACCGAGGUGUAGUUCCCUUGGCUUUGACCCUGUGCUAGAGUAAUGUCUGUUCUUUUCCUCUGCAUUGAAAGGACUAUUUAUCCUUUUAAAUGUAUUCAGAAAGUCAGCACAUUA
This 136-nucleotide small nucleolar RNA is filed under the name Muntiacus reevesi (Reeves' muntjac). Its description in RNAcentral is "Small nucleolar RNA SNORA22". It matches the Rfam family "Small nucleolar RNA SNORA22". From Rfam's summary of the family: ACA22 is a member of the H/ACA class of snoRNA that guide the sites of modification of uridines to pseudouridines. The record is from Rfam by way of RNAcentral. Lineage: Eukaryota; Metazoa; Chordata; Mammalia; Artiodactyla; Cervidae. RNAcentral also lists the same sequence under 2 other names.